Molecule: long non-coding RNA, 788 nt
Organism: Colius striatus (speckled mousebird)
Lineage: Eukaryota; Metazoa; Chordata; Aves; Coliiformes; Coliidae
Exons: 3
Source: RefSeq, a predicted model, not a curated record
CAGAGCCUUCCAACUCCUGGACCUGAUUGGUCUUCUGCAGCAUCUGCCUCUCCCAUCUGGACACUUCUUCCUUAGCAGCCUGAAGUUCUUCUGCCUUGGCUUCCUUCUUCCGGGAAAUUAUAGAUGCCUGCACGGUCAUUAAAAAUGCAUAUGGACAAGUAAGCUCACUGAAGUAUUCAGCAACAGGUCAAAAGAACAACAGCACAACGCCUGAGUCUGCUUCUCAACAAAGAAACAGAUUCUUACACGAUGCUCCAGCUGAAUCAGAUGCAAAAUUGAACAUGCAGCAUUGGUACAGAAAGCCACAAACCCUACAUAUGGCCUGUACACAUCAAGAUAUUGGAUUCUGUGUUGUGAAUUACAUUCUUCUGAAACUUUGGAAGUUAAGAACUAGACUUUGGCUGCUCAUGCCCAUGCAAGAUGAGGGGCAGCAAAGCACGUCACAGCCACGUUGACUUGCUCAGAGUUUCUUCAAAGCUUCUAUCCCUUGGAGGUUCUCUGGCAGGAGCAGUGGAGCAAGCACCCUGCAGCUGGUCCUACUCAAGAUUGCAUAGCUCAUUGUUUCAUGUGAAUUACUUCAUCUACAGACAGAAAUUAUCUCAGGGUGAGUCCUUUAUCUUAAUUUUAAGAUCUUAAUUUGGCCUAGCUCAUGUAUAGAUUCAUAAUUUCCUGGAAAUUCUCCCUUAAAAUAAAACUUUACUCUAAGCUGGCACCUAAAAAAGUCCUUAAAAUGAGCAGAAUUUAAAGUAUGCUUACUUUAAGGGUCUUUUACAUUGCUGGAACACUUA